AGCAGUCGCCGCGGUAAUACGGAGGGGGCUAGCGUUGUUCGGAAUUACUGGGCGUAAAGCGAGCGCAGGCGGUUAGAUAAGUCUGAAGUUAAAGGCUGUGGCUUAACCAUAGUACGCUUUGGAAACUGUUUAACUUGAGUGCAAGAGGGGAGAGUGGAAUUCCUUGUGUAGCGGUGAAAUGCGUAGAUAUAUGGAGGAACACCGGUGGCGAAAGCGGCUCUCUGGCUUGUAACUGACGCUGAGGCUCGAAAGCGUGGGGAGCAAACAGGAUUAGAUACCCGCGUAGUCCCUGUCUCUUAUACA
This 303-nucleotide ribosomal RNA is filed under the name uncultured bacterium. Its description in RNAcentral is "partial 16S ribosomal RNA". It matches the Rfam family "Bacterial small subunit ribosomal RNA", at positions 507 to 808 of the family's 1533-position model. The record is from RNAcentral.